UACGUAGGGGGCAAGCGUUGUCCGGAAUUAUUGGGCGUAAAGAGCGUGUAGGCGGUUUGAUCAGUCUGCUGUGAAAGUCCAGGGCUCAACCCUGGAAAGCCGGUGGAUACUGUCAGGCUAGAGUGCGGAAGAGGCGAGUGGAAUUCCUGGUGUAGCGGUGAAAUGCGCAGAUAUCAGGAGGAACACCAAUUGCGAAGGCAGCUCGCUGGGACGUUACUGACGCUGAGACGCGAAAGCGUGGGGAGCAAACAGG
This 253-nucleotide ribosomal RNA is filed under the name uncultured bacterium. RNAcentral describes it as "partial 16S ribosomal RNA". It matches the Rfam family "Bacterial small subunit ribosomal RNA", at positions 524 to 776 of the family's 1533-position model. The record is from RNAcentral.